RNAcentral lists this transfer RNA (73 nucleotides) under Camelus bactrianus (Bactrian camel). It matches the Rfam family "tRNA". Rfam says of the family: Transfer RNA (tRNA) molecules are approximately 80 nucleotides in length. Their secondary structure includes four short double-helical elements and three loops (D, anti-codon, and T loops). Further hydrogen bonds mediate the characteristic L-shaped molecular structure. tRNAs have two regions of fundamental functional importance: the anti-codon, which is responsible for specific mRNA codon recognition, and the 3' end, to which the tRNAs corresponding amino acid is attached (by aminoacyl-tRNA synthetases). tRNAs cope with the degeneracy of the genetic code in two manners: having more than one tRNA (with a specific anti-codon) for a particular amino acid; and 'wobble' base-pairing, i.e. permitting non-standard base-pairing at the 3rd anti-codon position. Lineage: Eukaryota; Metazoa; Chordata; Mammalia; Artiodactyla; Camelidae. RNAcentral also lists the same sequence under 2 other names. The record is from Rfam by way of RNAcentral.
GAGGGUAUAGCUCAAGUGGUAGAACACAUGCUCAGCAGCAUGAGGUCCUGGGUUCAAUUCCCUGGUACCUCCU